UCAUUUGACACUGUUUGCAAGGCAGGUCUGCAAAGAAGAUCUAAUUCAGAGUUUGAUUGCUUUAUUUCUCUUCACUUCUGAAAGAUGAUUUUGCGGGCUGCAAUGAGUAGUGUCCCUGUCUCAGUCCUCAGUAGCCUGUGCCUGAGGCUGCAGCCUUCACAGAAGCUUCUCUGCUGACUCCCCUGCAGGGUCCUCCCUUCCUGGGUGCAGCACCCCUGCUGUAACCCUUGACCCCUGUUGACUGUUUAAUGCUCCUCCCUGCAGGAGGGAAGAGAAGGCUGCAGGGAGAGGGUUGGGAAUGUCCAGCUCUGGCCAUGCUCUUUCCCUGGAGAGUGAGUGGGCCUUUAUUUCUGGGUACUUCGUCAUCCUGAUCCCUCCUCUGCCAGACGCUGGGGGGUCUUCCUCAGAUUUUCCACAAGAAGCGCCUAUACCCGAGUGCAGCCUCCCUUCUCUGAGGGUCUUUCAGCUGGAGCAGAGCUUUCUUCCCAUAAGGUUCUGGGGUGACCCCCAGUGUCUUCACACCCUCUUGCUGAGGUGAGACUCUUGCUGAGUCCCCACAGCAAGCUCCUGCUGUGCACGUGUGGGUUGGACAGGUGAAGUAUUUGGUUUGUACAUAAAUGUUUAUCACUUCUUUAUACAUUUAAUAUGUUUCACACAGAAAAUGUUGAAAAGACUGACUUUGUAAGAAGUUCAUAUGCUACGCAUUUGGGCGUACCUUUUACUCGUCGUUACAUGUUCAUGGACUUACUUGGCAUAUAGUUCAGAGAAUGUUGACUCUCGAGUACCUUAUAACCCAGCACUCCAGGACCAAAUUAAAGUGAUUUGAUAUAAUUUAAGUCAUCAAUCAUUUUUAGAUAUUUUUACCAAAC
This 869-nucleotide long non-coding RNA is filed under the name Marmota monax (woodchuck). The record is from RNAcentral. Lineage: Eukaryota; Metazoa; Chordata; Mammalia; Rodentia; Sciuridae.